This 500-nucleotide ribosomal RNA is filed under the name uncultured bacterium. RNAcentral's name for it is "bacterial SSU rRNA". It matches the Rfam family "Bacterial small subunit ribosomal RNA", at positions 111 to 626 of the family's 1533-position model. The record is from RNAcentral.
UAACGCGUGAGGAACCUGCCUUUCAGAGGGGGACAACAGCUGGAAACGGCUGCUAAUACCGCAUGAUGCAAUUGAACCGCAUGAUUUGAUUGCCAAAGAUUUAUCGCUGAAAGAUGGCCUCGCGUCUGAUUAGCUAGUUGGCGGGGUAACGGCCCACCAAGGCGACGAUCAGUAGCCGGUCUGAGAGGAUGAACGGCCACAUUGGGACUGAGAUACGGCCCAGACUCCUACGGGAGGCAGCAGUGGGGAAUAUUGGGCAAUGGGGGAAACCCUGACCCAGCAACGCCGCGUGAAGGAAGAAGGCUUUCGGGUUGUAAACUUCUUUUACCAGGGACGAAGAAAGUGACGGUACCUGGAGAAAAAGCCACGGCUAACUACGUGCCAGCAGCCGCGGUAAUACGUAGGUGGCAAGCGUUGUCCGGAUUUACUGGGUGUAAAGGGCGUGUAGGCGGGGCUGCAAGUCAGAAGUGAAAUCUAUGGGCUUAACCCAUAAACUGCUU